UACCAUGAUCAAUUCAGCAGCCCUUUCUUUUCCAAAAAAAAAAAAAAAAAUCUAUCAAAUAUUGGAUUGGCCAUGCACCUCACAUUUCUGCCUCUGUUUUCCUUAGGUGAUAUAUUUUUCUUAUUCCAGUGGGCAACUGUCCAAUAGUCGACAACAUGAUGUUGAGAUAUUUCCAGCGCAGCUAAAAUAGAAUUUGAGAGCAGAAAAAUUACAGGUACCAAAAGCAGAAGAGGCCCAGAUACCAAUUUUUCUCCACCAACAGAGGCUUCAACAGACCAGAGUGCAAGACAAGAAGACUCGCUGCAUUUUGAAUAACUGACACGACUUGCUUUUUCUCAAAUGGGAAGAACUCUGCCACUGCUAUCACGGCUGCUUUCUCCACACGCCUGUAUAAUCCAUGACUGAAUGAAACAACUGCAGGCACUUUCUCUCAGGGGCUGUCAAAACUCAUAUCUGGGAAAUGUAGGGAAUCACUAACUGGAGUCCUGUGGAAGAGGAGGAGGCAGGUUGAGGCGAAGUGGGUACGCUAAUAGGCGAAAACGCCUGUUGCUGCUGAUGGAAACAGAAAACGCACCAAUUCUGCUGCACCAGAAGAUUUUUCUAGGAAAACACCUUCCAGAUAGGCUACUUCAGAAGAUUAAAUGUAAAAGCUUUGAUGUGAAGCUGGUGGGAUCACUGUUGUGUUAUGUCAAGUCUGUAUCGCAAAGCAUCAAUGUAUUUUUAUGAUAAUUUGUCAUAUUGUUAGUUAUUUUGCGCUAUUCUCCCUUAACCAAAUAGAAAUAAAGUGUUGUUUAAAAGCG
Molecule: long non-coding RNA, 800 nt
Organism: Myripristis murdjan (pinecone soldierfish)
Lineage: Eukaryota; Metazoa; Chordata; Actinopteri; Holocentriformes; Holocentridae
Exons: 2
Source: RefSeq, a predicted model, not a curated record